This 474-nucleotide ribosomal RNA is filed under the name Triticum aestivum (bread wheat). RNAcentral describes it as "partial small subunit ribosomal RNA". Lineage: Eukaryota; Viridiplantae; Streptophyta; Magnoliopsida; Poales; Poaceae. The record is from RNAcentral.
AUGAUGUCGUUUUACCCCUUGCUAGUAGGGGUCAGAAAGAAAGCUGAUUUCUUCAAAGCUAGACUAGUGUGGCAGGAGAAUGAAGAUAAGAAAAAAUAUCACCUGGUUAAUUGGAAAACCUGCUGUCUUCCAAAAGACUUGGGGGGACUGGGGAUUUUAAAUCUAGAGCUAAUGAAUAAAGCACUCUUAGCUAAAUGCCUGUGGAAACUGGAAACAGAGGAUGGGAUGUGGAUAAAAAUCCUUCUUAACAAGUAUGUGGAAGGAAAAUGUAUCUCUGGACUAAAAAAGAAAACGGGAGAUUCCCAAUUCUGGGGGAGCCUCAUGCAGAUCAAAGACGUAUAUUCUCGAAACGUUAAGAAAAAACUUGGAGAUGGCAAAGGCACACGCUUCUGGAAGGAUUGGUGGGUGGGGGCUAAACCUCUAAAAGAGGCCUACCCAAGUCUUUGCUACAUCAAUUUGAAUCAUAACAUUUGA